AAAUUGAAGAGUUUGAUCAUGGCUCAGAUUGAACGCUGGCGGCAGGCCUAACACAUGCAAGUCGAGCGGUAGCACAGAGAGCUUGCUCUCGGGUGACGAGCGGCGGACGGGUGAGUAAUGUCUGGGAAACUGCCUGAUGGAGGGGGAUAACUACUGGAAACGGUAGCUAAUACCGCAUAACGUCGCAAGACCAAAGUGGGGGACCUUCGGGCCUCAUGCCAUCAGAUGUGCCCAGAUGGGAUUAGCUGGUAGGUGGGGUAACGGCUCACCUAGGCGACGAUCCCUAGCUGGUCUGAGAGGAUGACCAGCCACACUGGAACUGAGACACGGUCCAGACUCCUACGGGAGGCAGCAGUGGGGAAUAUUGCACAAUGGGCGCAAGCCUGAUGCAGCCAUGCCGCGUGUGUGAAGAAGGCCUUCGGGUUGUAAAGCACUUUCAGCGGGGAGGAAGGCGGUGAGGUUAAUAACCUCACCGAUUGACGUUACCCGCAGAAGAAGCACCGGCUAACUCCGUGCCAGCAGCCGCGGUAAUACGGAGGGUGCAAGCGUUAAUCGGAAUUACUGGGCGUAAAGCGCACGCAGGCGGUCUGUCAAGUCGGAUGUGAAAUCCCCGGGCUCAACCUGGGAACUGCAUUCGAAACUGGCAGGCUAGAGUCUUGUAGAGGGGGGUAGAAUUCCAGGUGUAGCGGUGAAAUGCGUAGAGAUCUGGAGGAAUACCGGUGGCGAAGGCGGCCCCCUGGACAAAGACUGACGCUCAGGUGCGAAAGCGUGGGGAGCAAACAGGAUUAGAUACCCUGGUAGUCCACGCUGUAAACGAUGUCGAUUUGGAGGUUGUGCCCUUGAGGCGUGGCUUCCGGAGCUAACGCGUUAAAUCGACCGCCUGGGGAGUACGGCCGCAAGGUUAAAACUCAAAUGAAUUGACGGGGGCCCGCACAAGCGGUGGAGCAUGUGGUUUAAUUCGAUGCAACGCGAAGAACCUUACCUGGUCUUGACAUCCACAGAACUUUCCAGAGAUGGAUUGGUGCCUUCGGGAACUGUGAGACAGGUGCUGCAUGGCUGUCGUCAGCUCGUGUUGUGAAAUGUUGGGUUAAGUCCCGCAACGAGCGCAACCCUUAUCCUUUGUUGCCAGCGGUUAGGCCGGGAACUCAAAGGAGACUGCCAGUGAUAAACUGGAGGAAGGUGGGGAUGACGUCAAGUCAUCAUGGCCCUUACGACCAGGGCUACACACGUGCUACAAUGGCAUAUACAAAGAGAAGCGACCUCGCGAGAGCAAGCGGACCUCAUAAAGUAUGUCGUAGUCCGGAUUGGAGUCUGCAACUCGACUCCAUGAAGUCGGAAUCGCUAGUAAUCGUAGAUCAGAAUGCUACGGUGAAUACGUUCCCGGGCCUUGUACACACCGCCCGUCACACCAUGGGAGUGGGUUGCAAAAGAAGUAGGUAGCUUAACCUUCGGGAGGGCGCUUACCACUUUGUGAUUCAUGACUGGGGUGAAGUCGUAACAAGGUAACCGUAGGGGAACCUGCGGUUGGAUCACCUCCUUA
RNAcentral lists this ribosomal RNA (1540 nucleotides) under Klebsiella pneumoniae. RNAcentral describes it as "bacterial SSU rRNA". It matches the Rfam family "Bacterial small subunit ribosomal RNA". RNAcentral also lists the same sequence under 4 other names. Lineage: Bacteria; Pseudomonadati; Pseudomonadota; Gammaproteobacteria; Enterobacterales; Enterobacteriaceae. The record is from RNAcentral.